GGCCAUUGAGCAUCUGCAAAUAGCAAUCACCAAUUUCCUUCAAUUGUUUAAAUGGGAUAACAAUUUUUAAAUAUCUCACCUGCAAGAUGUGUGGCGGCCCUCGCGGGGCCGCGUCCCCGGGAAAACUGACAACCCGUGGAGAUAUUGUAUUGACGUGGAACGACAGUGACCGACACCAUGAUGAGCAAACUCCUCAUCGAGACACUCCAGCUCUAUUUCACCCUUCUUGCCCCUCGUCGAACGACAAUUUGUACUUGCGCAAUGCUGUUUGAAAUUUUUUUUUGCGGACCCGCGCCACCCCCUCCACUCGCCAUUCUCUUCUUCAUCGACUGCGGGGACGUCGAUCGCUGGUUGAAUACCUAGGGAAUUCGGUCAUUCAACCUAUAAAUAGUUCAUCAGUGGAACAGAGGUUUCCUGACUUGCGAAAAAAUGAAAAGGUCAUCUCCUAGAAAGAUCAACGAGUCUUCUGAACCC
Long non-coding RNA from Fopius arisanus, 474 nucleotides. RefSeq lists it as uncharacterized. NCBI's taxonomy places the organism in Eukaryota, Metazoa, Arthropoda, Insecta, Hymenoptera, Braconidae. The record is from RefSeq and is a predicted model, not a curated record. The transcript has 3 exons.